GGAGGGAGUAGGAGGGAAGGAAGGUGGCCAGGGCGUGCCCGCCCACCACCACCGCGGGUCCUCCGCUGACCGCGUCAGGAUCAUCGGCCCCCGUCCUCUGCGCAACCUCUCCGUCGUCCUCCGGCCGCGGGUGGUCGGGCGGCCCUAGGUGGAAACCAGGGGAAAGGAUCCCCCUCGUCGUGGUCCUCCGCCACCUCGCGGAUCAGCCCCUUCGCAGCUUCGGCCGUGGUGGCAGGCCCCUCGGCAGAAACUGCUAGAUGGGGCCCUCUCGAUGGGCGCUGCUCACCGAGGCAGGUGCAGAACAACCGUGCGGCCACAUCUUCGACGAGUCGUGCUGUUUGAGGUGCGUGGUCUUCUCCCCAUCGACCCGCUGUGUUUAAUCUAGCUGCUACUGCCAAGUGUUUGGAAUUGACUUCAAAUGUAGUAUCUGGAUAAUUGGUGCUCAGUAUGUGUUUGUGAUAUUGCCUAUGCCGGUGAGCUUAUUCAGCCAAACAUGAAUAAUCGCCAUCCACGGCAGGGCACUCUCCUCCUCGCGUCCUCCUCCGUUGAAGCAGACUGGCUCAUCUCCUGCCUGCCUGCCCUCCGACGCACCCGCGGGUGAUAGUUGAUAUGUCCUUGCUCUGUUUAUCCAGCUAAUGGCUCUUUUGCUCUUGAGGCACACACUAACCAUCACUAGUAGCGAUGAUGAAGAUGAUGCUUCUGCUAUUUUCUCGUUAUUCCUUUUGUGGGCGGCUGGAUUUCUUCUACCAUGCUACAUCAUGGCUUGGGAUAUUAGUAUCAUGCAGCGUCAAAGACAAAGACAGGAAGAAGCAAUGCUAUUACCAACAGAAGUGACAAUCAUUCUCCAUCCGAAUGGGACGAUGCAGUUCACUGUGUCACCUGAAAUUCCUGCCUCACCUCAUCUGGAACCAGCCCAGUAGAAAUUUAUCAGCAGCAGGCUCAUUUUGUACAAGAUAUGAUGGGCCUUAGCAUCUGCGGUUCAGCCUUGUUGCAUCAGCUAGGGUUUCUGUGAUGGGAUUUCAUAAUCCCCUGUAUAUAAAAAUAUAGUAUUCUCUUUCAGUGACUGAAUGCAUGCUGAAUUAAAGAGGUAUAUUGUGUUAGCCCAAAUGGUUUAAGAUUAGGUUCGCCGUGUCCCUAAUACUCCUGAUCAAAUUUAUGAAAAAUAAUGCUGAUAUGUACUGCUUAUUA
Molecule: non-coding RNA, 1188 nt
Organism: Lolium perenne
Lineage: Eukaryota; Viridiplantae; Streptophyta; Magnoliopsida; Poales; Poaceae
Source: RefSeq, a predicted model, not a curated record